UACGUAGGGCGCAAGCGUUGUCCGGAAUUAUUGGGCGUAAAGAGCUCGUAGGCGGCUUGUCACGUCGGAUGUGAAAGCCCGGGGCUUAACCCCGGGUCUGCAUUCGAUACGGGCAGGCUAGAGUUCGGUAGGGGAGAUCGGAAUUCCUGGUGUAGCGGUGAAAUGCGCAGAUAUCAGGAGGAACACCGGUGGCGAAGGCGGAUCUCUGGGCCGAUACUGACGCUGAGGAGCGAAAGCGUGGGGAGCGAACAGG
RNAcentral lists this ribosomal RNA (253 nucleotides) under uncultured bacterium. RNAcentral's name for it is "partial 16S ribosomal RNA". It matches the Rfam family "Bacterial small subunit ribosomal RNA", at positions 524 to 776 of the family's 1533-position model. RNAcentral also lists the same sequence under 1 other name. The record is from RNAcentral.